UGAGAAACCUGUCCCGGUCUCUGGAAUAACAAGUGGAAACACUUGCUAAUACCGGAUGACGUCGGUCCAUCGCAUGGUGGACUGACGAAAGGGUUACCGGAUCGGGAGGGUCUCGCGGCCUAUCAGCUUGUUGGUGAGGUAACGGCUCACCAAGGCAUCGACGGGUAGCUGGUCUGAGAGGAUGUCCAGCCACACGUGGGACUGAGACACGGCCCAGACCUCCGACGGGAG
Molecule: ribosomal RNA, 231 nt
Filed under: uncultured bacterium
Lineage: Bacteria
Description: partial 16S ribosomal RNA
Rfam family: Bacterial small subunit ribosomal RNA
Source: RNAcentral